CUUGCUUUGGCAGAAAAAAAUACUAAAAUUGGAACAGUACAGAGAAGAUUAGCAUGGCUCCUGCGCAAGGAUGACACGCAAGAAGACUGGACAACAACACCAACCA
Molecule: small nuclear RNA, 106 nt
Organism: Drosophila teissieri
Lineage: Eukaryota; Metazoa; Arthropoda; Insecta; Diptera; Drosophilidae
Source: RefSeq, a predicted model, not a curated record